UGUUCACCACCACCAGUGCAAACUCGUGGCUCUUGUCAAUCUUGUGCUUCGUCCUCACAAACAUCUCAAUCAUCUUCUGUGAGAUGUUCAGCGCGUUGGUCUUGGAGCCAUUGAACGACUCCAGCUUGGGCAGAGCCAUCUCCUCAGCCAGGUCCAGGCAGAUGAUCACCUUCUCAGGGCAAUUCACCCGCGGUGUCUUCACCUGCACCUCGGGGGGGGGAUGUGCGGGGCCGGGCCAGGCGGUGCCAUCGGGGGCAGCGGUUCCCUGCGGGCUGUCCUCGCUGCUGGCCGCCUCCCCCUCCCCCUCGCUGCGGUUCCCCACGCUGCUCUGAGCGCUCAAUGCCCGAUCCUCGGCGCCCUCAGGGUUGGAGCGGGUGCGCGGCCGCUGCUCCGGAGCCUUUUCCUCCUCCUCCUCAGCAGCACUGCCCGGCCCCGACGUGUCCAUCCCGCAGCUGCGCUCCAUGGCACCGCUCUGGGGGGGCCCCCGCCGCGC
Molecule: long non-coding RNA, 493 nt
Filed under: Gallus gallus (chicken)
Lineage: Eukaryota; Metazoa; Chordata; Aves; Galliformes; Phasianidae
Source: RNAcentral